This 138-nucleotide ribosomal RNA is filed under the name uncultured eukaryote. RNAcentral describes it as "partial 18S ribosomal RNA". It matches the Rfam family "Eukaryotic small subunit ribosomal RNA", at positions 1299 to 1458 of the family's 1831-position model. The record is from RNAcentral.
UGGUGGAGUGAUUUGUCUGGUUAAUUCCGAUAACGAAUGAGACCUUAACCUGCUAAAUAGUCAGGCCGGCUUCGGCUGGUCGUCGACUUCUUAGAGGGACUGUCGGCGUUUAGCCGACGGAAGUUUGAGGCAAUAACA